AAUAUUGUUUAUAAUUAAUGUUUUUAAUUUUAAUUUUAAAUUAAUCACUUUGACAUUUAUGUCAAAUUUCCGGUAAACGUUUACAAACUUGUCACUACUGGCGUUCGCGAAUUUGUAAAUAUCCCCUCUACGUACGAGCUCACAGCGUAUACGCUGUGAGCUUCGCUGGUGUCGCUCCUAGCGGUUACUAAUUCAACUUUUACCGGUAAUUUUUAAAUUUAUUAUUUAAUUGUUAUCGCUUAAUAUUUACAACGCAAAAAAGUAAUUAAAUUGUAAUCGAUUUUUUUAAGAUUUUUCUAAUCAUUUUGACGUUCUAUUGAUAAAAUAUCAAUUUCCUACUUCGGAUACUUUGACAAUAAUCGUGUAGAUGGCGCUAAGAUUAUAAUAGAUUAUUUAUAAUUAGAUAUUACGGAACAUUAAAAAAACUUAAAUUCGGUAUUUAAAACGUAAGUAUAUUUAAGGUAAAAAUAUAUACCACAGCUUUGACCAACUAAUAUUGUUUAUAAUUAAUGUUUUUAAUUUUAAUUUUAAAUUAAUCACUUUGACAUUUAUGUCAAAUUUCCGGUAAAAGUUUACAAACUUGUCACUACUGGCGUUCGCGAAUUUGUAAAUAUCCCCUCUACGUACGAGCUCACAGCGUAUUGGGAUAAACCGUAAUCGUACCCCCUCCUAACUGCCAAAGUGUCAUGGCCGCCGUCGGGACCUAUUGUGCUGACAUUUACAAUGUUUACAUAUAGAAAAGUUUGUUUUUUUCUGCUUAUAAUGCCGUUUUCUAAAGAUAUUAGUGAACAAAAUCGAUUUGCUAACAAUAUUUAAUAUAUUUUAAAUGUGCUAAAAUUGGAUUCAACAGCAAAAGUCGCAUAAAUAACAUAUAAAUAACGAAUUUGUUCACCUAUUACAAAUGGGGUUAUGUGGUUGUAACUGUUUAUUUUGGGAAUAAAAUGAAAAUGAUCAAUUAAACGACUGGAAAACUAUAGUGAAGUGAAGAACAUCUUGAAGUUCCAAUGAUGUUUCAAGAUGAGAUAAAUCGAAAUAAUGGUUGUAUGUUAGAAGGACAGAGAAUACGAAGAAAUGUUAUUACUGCAUACUUAGUGUAGUGAAAUACAAACUUCAAACAUUAUAAUAUAUUUUUUUAUUUCAAACAUUUCAUAUGAUUAUGAAAGAACAUCUUCCUCUUUAAAACAAUGAAGAAGUGAAGAACAUAAUAAAGUUCCAACGAAAAUGAUUCCAGAUGAGGAAAAUCGAAAUAAUGGUUGUAUGUUACGUGUAUAGAGAAUACGAAGAAAUGUUAUUGCUGCAAACUUAGUGUAGUGAAUUAAAAACUUAUUGUCAAAUACAAAUCAAUUUAUUUCAUACUUUUAUAAUAUAUAGUGGUACAAUUUUAUAUGUGUUCAAAUAAAAAUAUUAAUAAAUAAAAUACAAUAAACACAAA
Long non-coding RNA from Diabrotica virgifera virgifera (western corn rootworm), 1432 nucleotides. RefSeq lists it as uncharacterized. The transcript is spliced from 2 exons. NCBI's taxonomy places the organism in Eukaryota, Metazoa, Arthropoda, Insecta, Coleoptera, Chrysomelidae. The record is from RefSeq and is a predicted model, not a curated record.